Molecule: long non-coding RNA, 366 nt
Organism: Dama dama (fallow deer)
Lineage: Eukaryota; Metazoa; Chordata; Mammalia; Artiodactyla; Cervidae
Exons: 3
Source: RefSeq, a predicted model, not a curated record
UGUUUACUGAGCUGAGAGAACAAAUUACCUACUUCAGGCGGUGGGAAGCGUAUGGAAAUUAUAUUAGAACUUCAGCAAAGUGCACAGCCGCAUAAUACAGAAGCCGAGGCUCAGAUUGACAGGCAAAUAAGCCAGCUCGUGGAAGGGGCCUCUGGGUGGCAGCUCUGGGCUAUUGGGUGUUGGACAACUCUAGGCAAAACUGAAAUGGAACGGGGGCAGAAAAUAGCACACUAACGCUGCGCAACCGUUGCUUUCUCAUGGUCAUUAGGAAUUUUGUUGGGAUAAUUGUCCAAAUGAAUUUGAAGCAUUCUAUUCAAAUGGCAGGAGUAAAAGACAGUUGAACUCGGCCUCCCAGCUUCAACUCUC